UUAAAUAGAAAGUUUGAUUUUUUUGGAAAUUUUAAAUCAAAAGUUUUGGGACUCCAGUACUUGCUUCAACAAUACAAAUGCUAUUCAGCUAAUCUUUGUAUCUUUAGAAUAAGCACUCAGUAAUUCUUAACUAUUCCUGUUUAGUAUUUUUACCAAGAUUAAUUUUUUUAAGAUUAAGCCACCCCUCCAAAAAAAAGAUUAAGCCCUCAAAUUAUGAUUCGUUUCUCACUGUCAUUUCAGUUGAAGGAAACUGAAGAUGUAUAUGCAAUGCCAUGUAUAUAAGGUCUGGUACAUUAAGGAGACCACCAUGUCAGAUUUCCAGGAGCCAUUCUAAAUGAUCUCAUUCAAAUUGCCGUCCUUUAUCAUGGCAACAGUGACUUCAGUUACCACAGGGAAACACAACAAGAUGCGGCAACUGAACACCAGAGAUGCAAGAUGAGUUUUUGGAAAUCAGGCAAUUAAUUAGCAGCAGAACGAAGCCCUUUUCCUUGGAAGAAUCCAAGUGGACUGUGGAAACUUCUAGAAUCUACAUGUCUACCCCUCAAACAUGGAGCAACUGACAGAGGCCACAGAAGCCAGAGUUAAGAAACCGUAAGCAAAGGGAGGGGAGGACCCUUGCCCUAUUCCAGCUCCAGCCCAAUGCCAAGCUCUUGGAGCUGAGUAACCACCUGUUGAUUGAUCGUUACCGUGGCAAGAGCCUCCGAAAGAGCAUGAACAAACAAGUGAGGAGACUGAGCACAGAGAGUGAAGCGAUUUGGCACAGGUCAAACCACUGUUACGAGGAGGAGGAGGGACGCAAGCUCCACCCCCCUGACCGCAGAGCCUGGGCAGGAAAUCACCACUUUCACUGAUGUUAUUCUGUCACUUUCAUAUCCACGAAAUGAAUAGGCAUUUACAGGGGAAGAUGUACAAUAUGGAUAUAAAAUAACAAUCAGAAUCAUUUAUUACUUACCUGCUCUGGUGGUACUGACAACAGAAUAAAAGGAAUCACAUCAACAAUAAUAAAAAACUUUGCCUAGAGGGAAAUAGACAUAUGAAGUAACACCAUAAACAGAUAUUCUGUAUUUUCUUUUUUACGAUUCUACUCCUUUUGUCCCAUUUUACUUGACAUAUGGCUCACUUCAUAAGAACGUUUAAAUAUUGAUUUCCGAAUAGCUUCACUUACUUGGUCCUAAAACAAUAUUAACAGACCAUGUAGCUUCCGGAAGGAUCUGUUCUGCUGUUUCUGUAAA
Molecule: long non-coding RNA, 1232 nt
Organism: Herpailurus yagouaroundi (jaguarundi)
Lineage: Eukaryota; Metazoa; Chordata; Mammalia; Carnivora; Felidae
Exons: 5
Source: RefSeq, a predicted model, not a curated record